This 473-nucleotide ribosomal RNA is filed under the name uncultured bacterium. RNAcentral's name for it is "SSU rRNA". It matches the Rfam family "Bacterial small subunit ribosomal RNA", at positions 26 to 518 of the family's 1533-position model. The record is from RNAcentral.
AGGAUCAACGCUGGCGGCGUGCAUGAGACAUGCAAGUCAAACGGACGAUCAAAGCUUGCUUUGUUCGUUAGUGGCGAACGGCUGAGUAACGCGUGGGUGACCUGCCCCGAAGUGGGGAAUAACUGCCCGAAAGGGUGGCUAAUACCGCAUGUGGUGGUGCGUUCAAUCGCACCAGUAAAGCCGCAAGGCGCUUCGGGAGGGGCCUGCGUCCGAUUAGCUCGUUGGUGGGGUAACGGCUUACCAAGGCGACGAUCGGUAGGUGGUCUGAGAGGACGAUCACCCAGACUGGGACUGAGACACGGCCCAGACUCCUACGGGAGGCAGCAGUCGGGAAUUUUGCGCAAUGGACGAAAGUCUGACGCAGCAACGCCGCGUGGGGGAUGAAGGCCUUCGGGUUGUAAACCCCUUUUCUCAGGGACGAUAAUGACGGUACCUGAGGAAUAAGCCACGGCUAACUACGUGCCAGCAGCCGC